GGGGAUGUGGUCUAAUGGCAAGAUACCGCUGCAUGUUCUUCCCUGGGGAGUUUACUCCCUGGGUUUCCAGUCCAGUAAACCAAGGUUUAGGGGUCUCGACGAAAGUCUGCGGUGAUACUGGUUCGAGUCCGGUCGUCUCCA
Elasticomyces elasticus is the source of this 141-nucleotide non-coding RNA. Lineage: Eukaryota; Fungi; Ascomycota; Dothideomycetes; Mycosphaerellales; Teratosphaeriaceae. The record is from the annotation of a GenBank genome assembly.